Molecule: ribosomal RNA, 453 nt
Filed under: uncultured Porphyromonadaceae bacterium
Lineage: Bacteria; Pseudomonadati; Bacteroidota; Bacteroidia; Bacteroidales; Porphyromonadaceae
Description: partial 16S ribosomal RNA
Rfam family: Bacterial small subunit ribosomal RNA
Source: RNAcentral
ACGGAAGGCAGCAGUGAGGAAUAUUGGUCAAUGGGCGGAAGCCUGAGCCAGCCAAGUCGCGUGAAGGAAGACGGUAUUAUGUAUUGUAAACUUCUUUAGACGCAGAGAAAUAAGGGGCUUGCGAGCUCUGAUGCUAGUAUGCGUAGAAUAAGGAUCGGCUAACUCCGUGCCAGCAGCCGCGGUAAUACGGAGGAUCCGAGCGUUAUCCGGAUUUAUUGGGUUUAAAGGGUGCGCAGGCGGCGCUUUAAGUCAGUGGUCAAAUCGUGAGGCUCAACCUCAUCCCGCCAUUGAUACUGGAGCGCUUGAUUGCGGUUGAGGUAGGCGGAAUUCGUCGUGUAGCGGUGAAAUGCAUAGAUAUGACGAAGAACCCCGAUUGCGUAGGCAGCUUACCAAGCCGUAAAUGACGCUCAUGCACGAAAGUGCGGGGAUCGAACAGGAUUAGAUACCCUGGUA